GGCUCCAGCCAUGAUUUUCCUCUUCCCGGUGCCCUUUUCCCAUUAACUUUGUCUUGUUCUCCACAUAGUCUUGGACUUGGGGAUAUUCAUGCAUUGUUCUUUUACAUCACUAGAGAAUAGUUGAAAAUGAGAAGAUUAAUGCAGAAAAGUCAUCAAAACAGAAGGUGGAUCUACAGUCCUUGCCCACCCGUGCCUACCUGGACCAGACAGUUGUGCCUAUCUUAUUACAGGGACUUGCUGUGCUCGCAAAGGAAAGACCACCAAAUCCCAUCGAGUUUCUAGCAUCUUAUCUUUUAAAAAAUAAGGCACAGUUUGAAGAUCGAAAUUGAUUCUUGGGAAGAAAAGAAACAUUUGGUUGCUACUGUAGAUUUACAUGAUUACGAGGCAGCUUUUGUUGCCAUGAUUCCCCUCCUCACUCUGGAAGUCUAAGAACCUUCAGGACCACGGAACUCACUUCUGGAGUUGCAGAAGACAGCAUAUCCCUGUCUGAUUUAAUCACCAUACUUAUUUAAUGAGUGUCAUCUGUGCAAUUUUUUUCUCAGAUUGUCUUUUACUUUGUUUUUAAAAAGACCUUCAAAAUAAACUGUUAAAGCAUCUU
Molecule: long non-coding RNA, 598 nt
Filed under: Rattus norvegicus (Norway rat)
Lineage: Eukaryota; Metazoa; Chordata; Mammalia; Rodentia; Muridae
Description: long non-coding RNA NONRATT024047
Source: RNAcentral